CACCCUUAAAAAAUUGUUUGUUUGGCAUUGCCGACUCACACCAUCAGCAGGUGGGUAGGUAGGUAGGGAUUUUUUUUUUUUUUUUUUACAUUUAAAAACUUUAUAUAUCACAACCAUGAUGACUCUAGAUCACAGCCAAAAGCAGUGCAGCAUUGUUGUGUGUACAAACUUAUGGUUUCUUUGAUAGGGGUUAAUGUCACAUUCUACAACACAUGGAUAAUUUCAUGUCAAACAUUCAGUUUUUUUGGAGGAGUAAACCAAAGUACCCAGCAGAAACAUAUCUGUGGUAGGGAACUGACAUUAACCAUGUAACAUGUUAGACAUGAAAAUUGAAUCUUAAUUGUGGGACUGUCCAUUGAAUAGAGGCUUAAUGUCACAUCUUGAAAUUGCCUUCAGUUUGGUAAACUUAUCAUAUUUUAAUCAGUUCGACCACUACAGUUCCUUGUACAAAUAGAUGAUUUAAAGCUUUGAUUGUUUGCUUGUUUGAUGGGAUUUAAAAGUAACUUUCUACACCAUAUGGGCAAGUUCAUUACAGUCAGUUUUAUUGGUGGACGAAAGCGUAGUGCACAGAGGAACCUUAUUAUAAAUGUCAUGACAAUCUAACCUUAAUUUUGUGAAUGCAUACAUGUACUUAUCCCUAGAGGUGAUAAGACUAGCAUUGAUACAUGCAAAUUUUGCGGAACUACCAAAUGGUCAAAGCCACUACAGCCCCUGAUCAGCUUUGAGAAUAGCAAAAUAUUACAAAUUUAGAAGGUUGGCACAAGAACAGUCAUGAAUGCCUCACCCUGGCAGGGUGUUUAUACUGCAUUUGUAAUAACCGCAGUAAAAGUAUGAUAAUUUCAAAAUAUAAAUAUGCUGUAGGACAGACAAUUUUUACAGAUAAUUUAAAAUAAAUUUUAAGGUUGUUAUGAUUGUUUGAUUGACAGGGUUCUGGACAUGCAUGACAUAAAUACAGUUAAAUUCAUGAGCCCUUGGUUUGCUUAAAACAAUGGAACACUACCAGUAGAUAUAUUUAUAAAAUAUGUUGCCGUCAGAUAUCUUUUCUGUUUUAAGAAUUAUCUUAUUCAUGUUAAGAAGAAAGAGAGGGGUUGGGUUCAUAAAUUCUUGACACACAAAAGAGGCUAGUCUUUGAAAUAUGUAUGUUUUUGUACCAGGCUAACCUCUACUGGUACAAAACUACUAUAAACCUGUAAAUCUGGGACCAUAUUGGUCUUUUAGCUUUGGUGCUUUCAUGCAGGUACACCUUUCAGCCAUCAAGCCAAUGCAUCAUCAUCUUGAAUAGAUAUAAGAAGAUGUGGUAUGAGUGUCAACGAGAC
This 1316-nucleotide long non-coding RNA is filed under the name Mytilus galloprovincialis (Mediterranean mussel). Lineage: Eukaryota; Metazoa; Mollusca; Bivalvia; Mytilida; Mytilidae. The record is from RNAcentral.